AUUGAACGCUGGUCGGCAGGCCUAACACAUGCAAGUCGAGCGGAAACGAGUUAUCUGAACCUUCGGGGAACGAUAACGGCGUCGAGCGGCGGACGGGUGAGUAAUGCCUAGGAAAUUGCCCUGAUGUGGGGGAUAACCAUUGGAAACGAUGGCUAAUACCGCAUAAUGCCUACGGGCCAAAGAGGGGGACCUUCGGGCCUCUCGCGUCAGGAUAUGCCUAGGUGGGAUUAGCUAGUUGGUGAGGUAAUGGCUCACCAAGGCGACGAUCCCUAGCUGGUCUGAGAGGAUGAUCAGCCACACUGGAACUGAGACACGGUCCAGACUCCUACGGGAGGCAGCAGUGGGGAAUAUUGCACAAUGGGCGCAAGCCUGAUGCAGCCAUGCCGCGUGUGUGAAGAAGGCCUUCGGGUUGUAAAGCACUUUCAGUCGUGAGGAAGGUAGUGUAGUUAAUAGCUGCAUUACUUGACGUUAGCGACAGAAGAAGCACCGGCUAACUCCGU
Molecule: ribosomal RNA, 500 nt
Filed under: Vibrio harveyi
Lineage: Bacteria; Pseudomonadati; Pseudomonadota; Gammaproteobacteria; Vibrionales; Vibrionaceae
Description: bacterial SSU rRNA
Rfam family: Bacterial small subunit ribosomal RNA
Source: RNAcentral